RNAcentral lists this ribosomal RNA (474 nucleotides) under uncultured organism. RNAcentral's name for it is "partial 16S ribosomal RNA". It matches the Rfam family "Bacterial small subunit ribosomal RNA", at positions 331 to 797 of the family's 1533-position model. The record is from RNAcentral.
GUACACUCCUGCGGGAGGCAGCAGUAGGGAAUCUUCCACAAUGGGUGCAAACCUGAUGGAGCAAUGCCGCGUGAGUGAAGAAGGUCUUCGGAUCGUAAAGCUCUGUUGUUAGAGAAGAACACGUGCUAGGUAACUACUAGCGCCUUGACGGUAUCUAACCAGAAAGUCACGGCUAACUACGUGCCAGCAGCCGCGGUAAUACGUAGGUGACAAGCGUUGUCCGGAUUUAUUGGGCGUAAAGGGAGCGCAGGCGGUCUGUUUAGUCUAAUGUGAAAGCCCACGGCUUAACCGUGGAACGGCAUUGGAAACUGACAGACUUGAAUGUAGAAGAGGAAAAUGGAAUUCCAAGUGUAGCGGUGGAAUGCGUAGAUAUUUGGAGGAACACCAGUGGCGAAGGCGAUUUUCUGGUCUAACAUUGACGCUGAGGCUCGAAAGCGUGGGGAGCGAACAGGAUUAGAUACCCUGGUAGUCCCA